CCUACGGGUGGCAGCAGUGGGGAAUAUUGGACAAUGGGGGGAACCCUGAUCCAGCCAUGCCGCGUGUGUGAAGAAGGCCCUCGGGUUGUAAAGCACUUUCAGUGAGGAAGAACGCCUGGUGGUUAAUACCCAUCAGGAAAGACAUCACUCACAGAAGAAGCACCGGCUAACUCCGUGCCAGCAGCCGCGGUAAUACGGAGGGUGCGAGCGUUAAUCGGAAUUACUGGGCGUAAAGCGCGCGUAGGUGGCUUGAUAAGCCGGUUGUGAAAGCCCCGGGCUCAACCUGGGAACGGCAUCCGGAACUGUCAAGCUAGAGUGCAGGAGAGGAAGGUAGAAUUCCCGGUGUAGCGGUGAAAUGCGUAGAGAUCGGGAGGAAUACCAGUGGCGAAGGCGGCCUUCUGGACUGCCACUGACACUGAGGUGCGAAAGCGUGGGUAGCAAACAGGAUUAGAUACCCUGGUAGUC
Molecule: ribosomal RNA, 465 nt
Filed under: Vreelandella stevensii
Lineage: Bacteria; Pseudomonadati; Pseudomonadota; Gammaproteobacteria; Oceanospirillales; Halomonadaceae
Description: partial 16S ribosomal RNA
Rfam family: Bacterial small subunit ribosomal RNA
Source: RNAcentral